GACGAACGCUGGCGGCGUGCUUAACACAUGCAAGUCGAACGGUGACGAGGAGCUUGCUCCUCCGAUCAGUGGCGAACGGGUGAGUAACACGUGAGUAACCUGCCCCAGACUCUGGAAUAACAGUUGGAAACGGCUGCUAAUACCGGAUACGAGACGGAGAGGCAUCUCUACCGUCUGGAAAGUUUUUCGGUCUGGGAUGGACUCGCGGCCUAUCAGCUUGUUGGUGAGGUAAUGGCUCACCAAGGCGACGACGGGUAGCCGGCCUGAGAGGGCGACCGGCCACACUGGGACUGAGACACGGCCCAGACUCCUACGGGAGGCAGCAGUGGGGAAUAUUGCACAAUGGGCGAAAGCCUGAUGCAGCAACGCCGCGUGAGGGAUGACAGCCUUCGGGUUGUAAACCUCUUUCAGUAGGGAAGAAGCGAAAGUGACGGUACCUACAGAAGAAGCACCGGCUAACUACGUGCCAGCAGCCGCGGUAAU
Molecule: ribosomal RNA, 483 nt
Filed under: uncultured bacterium
Lineage: Bacteria
Description: bacterial SSU rRNA
Rfam family: Bacterial small subunit ribosomal RNA
Source: RNAcentral